CUAAGGCUCCAGAGGAAGCCACGGCUAACUCUGUGCCAGCAGCCGCGGUAAUACAGAGGCGGCAAGCGUUGUUCGGAAUUAUUGGGCGUAAAGAGCACGUAGGCGGCCUUGCAAGUCAGUUGUGAAAGCCUUCCGCUUAACGGAAGAAUGCCAGCUGAUACUACGGGGCUUGAGUACGGGAGGGGAGAGUGGAACUUCUGGUGGAGCGGUGAAAUGCGUAGAUAUCAGAAGGAACGCCGGCGGCGAAAGCGACUCUCUGGCCCGAAACUGACGCUGAGUGCGCGAAAGCUAGGGGAGCAAACGGGAUUAGAUACCCCGGUAGUCCUAGCCGUAAA
This 335-nucleotide ribosomal RNA is filed under the name uncultured Planctomycetales bacterium. Its description in RNAcentral is "bacterial SSU rRNA". It matches the Rfam family "Bacterial small subunit ribosomal RNA", at positions 473 to 806 of the family's 1533-position model. Lineage: Bacteria; Pseudomonadati; Planctomycetota; Planctomycetia; Planctomycetales. The record is from RNAcentral.